Molecule: small nucleolar RNA, 127 nt
Filed under: Propithecus coquereli (Coquerel's sifaka)
Lineage: Eukaryota; Metazoa; Chordata; Mammalia; Primates; Indriidae
Description: Small nucleolar RNA SNORA30/SNORA37 family (ENSPCOG00000003740.1)
Rfam family: Small nucleolar RNA SNORA30/SNORA37 family
About the family: The members of this family belong to the H/ACA class of snoRNAs that guide the sites of modification of uridines to pseudouridines. This family includes human ACA30 (SNORA30), ACA37 (SNORA37) and the mouse homolog MBI-26.
Source: Rfam by way of RNAcentral
CUAGCACUUUCACAGGUUCUCCCUGAGGCUUUGGGGCCAGGCUUUGGUAGUUGGUGCUGAGAGAAAACCUUGAUUAUAUCCUUGCCCUGGUACUGUGCCAGGGGCAGCUGUCACUCAAUGGAUAAUU